RNAcentral lists this ribosomal RNA (886 nucleotides) under Alloconiothyrium aptrootii. RNAcentral describes it as "eukaryotic LSU rRNA". It matches the Rfam family "Eukaryotic large subunit ribosomal RNA", at positions 38 to 941 of the family's 3401-position model. Lineage: Eukaryota; Fungi; Ascomycota; Dothideomycetes; Pleosporales; Didymosphaeriaceae. The record is from RNAcentral.
GCAUAUCAAUAAGCGGAGGAAAAGAAACCAACAGGGAUUGCCCUAGUAACGGCGAGUGAAGCGGCAACAGCUCAAAUUUGAAAUCUGGCUCUCUUUGGGGGUCCGAGUUGUAAUUUGCAGAGGGUGCUUUGGCAUCGGCGGCGGUCUAAGUUCCUUGGAACAGGACAUCACAGAGGGUGAGAAUCCCGUACGUGGGCGCCUGCCUUUGCCGUGUAAAGCCCCUUCGACGAGUCGAGUUGUUUGGGAAUGCAGCUCUAAAUGGGAGGUAAAUUUCUUCUAAAGCUAAAUACCGGCCAGAGACCGAUAGCGCACAAGUAGAGUGAUCGAAAGAUGAAAAGUACUUUGGAAAGAGAGUCAAAUAGCACGUGAAAUUGUUGAAAGGGAAGCGCUUGCAGCCAGACUUGCCCGCAGUUGCUCACCUAGGCUUUUGCCUGGGGCACUCUUCUGCGGGCAGGCCAGCAUCAGUUUGGGCGGUUGGAUAAAGGCCUCUGUCACGUAUCUCCCUUCGGGGUGACCUUAUAGGGGAGGCGUAAUGCAACCAGCCCGGACUGAGGUCCGCGCAUCUGCUAGGAUGCUGGCGUAAUGGCUGUAAGCGGCCCGUCUUGAAACACGGACCAAGGAGUCUAACAUCUAUGCGAGUGUUUGGGUGUCAAGCCCGGGCGCGUAAUGAAAGUGAACGGAGGUGGGAACCCUUUGGGUGCACCAUCGACCGAUCCUGAUGUCUUCGGAUGGAUUUGAGUAAGAGCAUAGCUGUUGGGACCCGAAAGAUGGUGAACUAUGCUUGAAUAGGGUGAAGCCAGAGGAAACUCUGGUGGAGGCUCGCAGCGGUUCUGACGUGCAAAUCGAUCGUCAAAUUUGGGCAUAGGGGCGAAAGACUAAUCGAACC